UGGCACUUCUCGUGUGAGCCUACAUGGCUAC
This 31-nucleotide non-coding RNA is filed under the name Rattus norvegicus (Norway rat). Lineage: Eukaryota; Metazoa; Chordata; Mammalia; Rodentia; Muridae. The record is from RNAcentral.